UUGACGGGGACCCGCACAAGCAGCGGAGCGUGUGGUUUAACUCGUUGCUACACGAAGAACCUUACCUGGGUUUGACAUAUAGGUUGUAGGGAACUGAAAAGGGACCGACCCUUCGGGGAGCCUAUACAGGUGUUGCAUGGCUGUCGUCAGCUCGUGUCGUGAGAUGUUCGGUUAAGUCCGCUAACGAGCGCAACCCUCGUCGUAUGUUAUAUGUGUCAUACGAGACUGCCGGUAAAAAGCCGGAGGAAGGUGAGGAUGAUGUCAAGUCAGCAUGACCUUUAUAUCCAGGGCUACACACACGCUACAAUGGUCUGUACAAUGGGUAGCCAAGCCGCGAGGCGGAGCCAAUCCUGAAAGCAGGCCUCAGUUCAGAUUGCAGUCUGCAACUCGACUGCAUGAAGCUGGAGUUGCUAGUAACCGCAGGUCAGCAAUACUGCGGUGAAUACGUUCCCGGGUCUU
RNAcentral lists this ribosomal RNA (459 nucleotides) under uncultured Anaerolineaceae bacterium. Its description in RNAcentral is "bacterial SSU rRNA". It matches the Rfam family "Bacterial small subunit ribosomal RNA", at positions 910 to 1382 of the family's 1533-position model. Lineage: Bacteria; Bacillati; Chloroflexota; Anaerolineae; Anaerolineales; Anaerolineaceae. The record is from RNAcentral.